CGUCCGCGGGAGUUGAGCCGGUGUCUGCGCGCUGGCCACGGGAAAGGACAGAGAAUGGAAAGUAAACGAAUCACCUCACGUUCCUCACGGAAGAACCGUCUUAUGGGGAAAGAAGGAAUGAAAUCCACGCGACUAGCUUUCCGGUAAGAGGCCGCUCGAGCGCGGCUGCGCGUCCGGACGCCGUCUAGGGUGGCGGUUGCUACAUCGAUCGGCGAGAUUUCCUCGUUUUUCCUGUUGCUUUACGGGUGGAAACUUUCUCUUCCGCACAUUGCUCUUACUUGUGAGAAUGAUAGUGAUUUCUGCUAUUUGUCCAAAUGCAAAACUUUUGAUAUGGCAAAGAAGAGAUGAUGAGUGAUGGAAGAAACAUGCCCUUAGAAGGCAGCUGCUCUUUGUGGACUGUGCCAACAGGAUGCCUUGCCCGGCUCCUGGUGUAGGUCAGCCAAUGGAACUAGCCAUAGAUGAAAGGUCAGCUGGAGAAAGAGGUCUGAGGCACAAUGGAGGUCUUAGUCCUCAGCAGGCGACAUCUCAAUCCCUAGUGGAAUGAAGGGGAGCAAAGUAGACAGUAAUUGCAAAGUGUUAUGCAUAUCUGCUCUAACCUGUUUGGAGGAUACCUGAAGGAUUGAUACACGUACUCACUUUGCUUCACUCAGAAUGCAGGUGGGAGAAAAGGAGCAGGAACCGCUCAUAAACGGUACAAUAGAGAAGACAAAUCUACCAACACCCAAGGGAAGACAUUAUGAGUGGAGAUGUACAAUGCAUCCUCUAAGGUUUGGGAAAGAACUUGAGCUGGGAAUCUUUGAGAAAUUUGGCCAUUCAAAAGCAGCCAUGCAUAUGGGGAAAUUUAGAAAGCUGCCCAUAUCCCAAGCAAGUCCUGUAUUUGAAGAUGAAAAGUCCUAAGAAGACCUUUAGCCUUCAAACUGGGCUGAUUCCUAGGCUCAGAGCAGGCCAAGAUAAGUACUGGAAAAUUCUCUAGCAUAUAGCAAAGACUGGUAGAGGUAGUUGUUUUCUCUUUCUCUCUCUCUCUUUCAU
Microcebus murinus (gray mouse lemur) is the source of this 1029-nucleotide long non-coding RNA. RefSeq lists it as uncharacterized. The record is from RefSeq and is a predicted model, not a curated record. NCBI's taxonomy places the organism in Eukaryota, Metazoa, Chordata, Mammalia, Primates, Cheirogaleidae.